UCCCGCGUAAUUUAAGCAUAUUAAUAGGCGGAGGAAAAGAAACUAACUAGGAUUCCCUGAGUAGCUGCGAGCGAAACGGGAUGAGCCCAGCACUGAAUCCUGCGCUUUGUCAAAGCGUUUGGAAAUGUAGUGUGUGGGAGGAUCCGAUCAUCUCGAGAGAGCACGCCAGUCCAAGUCCAUCUUGAAAGCGGCCACAGCCCGUAGAGGGUGCCAGGCCCGUAGGACGGUGGGUGUUCGAUCGAAAGGAUCUCUCCCUAGAGUCGGGUUGCUUGAGAGUGCAGCUCUAAGUGGGUGGUAAACUCCAUCUAAGGCUAAAUAUGACCACAAGACCGAUAGCGAACAAGUACCGUGAGGGAAAGUUGAAAAGAACUUUGAAGAGAGAGUUCAAGAGUACGUGAAACCGUUCGGGGGUAAACGGACGAAAUCUGGAAAAUCGAAGGGAGAGAUUCACGCUCGUGUCGUGCGUGUCGUUCGGACGUUGCGUGCGAAGGCGCGGACGUGCCCGCGCUCGUAGCAAUGCGAGCCGGUGUCGCGUUCCGCGUCCCGCCCAGUCGUUCGGGGGCCGCGCGUCGGGCUGCACUUCUCUCCUUGUAGUACGUCGCGACCCGUUGGAUUCGCUCUCGUCCGCGGCCCGUGCGUGGAGCCGAUCGGUGCGCGUGUCGCGUGCGCGGUGCUUCGGCACCGUGCAUCUGCGGCCACCCCGGUCGACCGCUGCGGUGUCCUGGCGAGCGUUCGACGGUAUCCGAACGAUUCGAAAAGAACGUCGACCUCGUGUCGACGCGGCCUCCUCGUCGAGGCACGUGUUGUGUCCGCGGCGCUCUAUCCGGAGCAUCUUCCGACCCGUCUUGAAACACGGACCAAGGAGUCUAACAUGUGCGCGAGUCAUUGGGACCGUACUAAACCUAAAGGCGUAGCGAAAGUGAACGUCGUGCGUAAAACACACGGCCGGAGGGGAGAUGCCCGUCGCCCUAGCGGCGCAUGGGCCGCAUCCCCGGGGCGUCUCGUUGUCAUUGCGACACAGUAGGCGCACCCAGAGCGUACACGUUGGGACCCGAAAGAUGGUGAACUAUGCCUGGCCAGGUCGAAGUCAGGGGAAACCCUGAUGGAGGACCGAAGCGAUUCUGACGUGCAAAUCGAUCGUCAGAGCUGGGUAUAGGGGCGAAAGACUAAUCGAACCAUCUAGUAGCUGGUUCCCUCCGAAGUUUCCCUCAGGAUAGCUGGCACUCGGAGCGCAACGAAGGGCCGCGGCGUGCGACUUGUCGCACGCCCGCGCCCGUCAACCAGUCUCAUCUGGUAAAGCGAAUGAUUAGAGGCCUUGGGGCCGAAACGACCUCAACCUAUUCUCAAACUUUAAAUGGGUGAGACCGUCGACUUGCUUGAUUCACACGUGAAGUCGAUACAAGUGCGGAUGAACGAGUGCCAAGUGGGCCAAUUUUGGUAAGCAGAACUGGUGCUGUGGGAUGAACCAAACGUCGAGUUAAGGCGCCUAAAUCGGAGCUCAUGGGAUACCAUGAAAGGCGUUGGUUGCUUAAGACAGCAGGACGGUGGCCAUGGAAGUCGGAAUCCGCUAAGGAGUGUGUAACAACUCACCUGCCGAAGCAACUAGCCCUGAAAAUGGAUGGCGCUCAAGCUCCGUGCCUAUACUCGACCGUCACCGGCAGACGAGCCGCGCGCGCGCGAGCAAUCGCAGAGCGCCAGCCAAGAAGUCGUGACGAGUAGGAGGGUCGCGACGGUGUGCGCAGAAGUGUCGGUCGCGAGGCCGCAUGGAGCCGCCGUCGGUGCAGAUCUUGGUGGUAGUAGCAAAUACACUAGAGGGGCCCUGGUGGGCUGACGUGGAGAAGGGUUUCGUGUGAACAGCCGUUGCACACGAGUCAGUCGAUCCUAAGCCCAUGGCGAAAGCCGAUCGCACGCGCGUCGAAAAAACACUGGCGUAUAUCGAUAGCGUUUGACGCGCGUCGGGCGAAAGGGAAUCCGGUUCCCAUUCCGGAACCCGGUGGCGGAACCGUUCGCGAGGCCGCGCGGCAGCAAUGUCGCACUCGCACGGGGCGACCCAAACAGACCCGGAGACGCCGUCGGGCGAUCGAGGCAGAGUUUUCUGUUCUGCAUGAGCGUUCGAGUUCCCUGGAAUCGCCUAGCGCGGAGAUAGGGUUUGGAACGCGAAGAGCACCGCACUUGCGGCGGUGUCUCGAUCUGCCCCUCGGACCUUGAAAAUCCGGGAGAGGGUCACGUGGAGGUGUCGCACCGGUUCGUACCCAUAUCCGCAGGAGGUCUCCAAGGUGAGGAGCCUCUGGCCGGUAGAUUAAUGUAGGUAAGGGAAGUCA
This 2321-nucleotide ribosomal RNA is filed under the name Megaleuctra kincaidi. Its description in RNAcentral is "eukaryotic LSU rRNA". It matches the Rfam family "Eukaryotic large subunit ribosomal RNA", at positions 24 to 1916 of the family's 3401-position model. The record is from RNAcentral. Lineage: Eukaryota; Metazoa; Arthropoda; Insecta; Plecoptera; Leuctridae.